RNAcentral lists this ribosomal RNA (263 nucleotides) under uncultured bacterium. RNAcentral's name for it is "partial 16S ribosomal RNA". It matches the Rfam family "Bacterial small subunit ribosomal RNA", at positions 793 to 1055 of the family's 1533-position model. The record is from RNAcentral.
GUCCACGCCGUAAACGUUGGGCACUAGGUGUGGGGGGAAGUCAACCCCUUCCCGUGCCGCAGCUAACGCAUUAAGUGCCCCGCCUGGGGAGUACGGCCGCAAGGCUAAAACUCAAAGGAAUUGACGGGGGCCCGCACAAGCGGCGGAGCAUGUUGCUUAAUUCGAGGCAACGCGAAGAACCUUACCUGGGUUUGACAUGUACGGAAAAGCCGUAGAGAUACGGUGUCCUUCGGGGCCGUACACAGGUGGUGCAUGGUUGUCGU